AGAGUUUGAUCCUGGCUCAGGAUGAACGCUGGCGGCGUGCUUAACACAUGCAAGUCGAACGGAGUUAUCAAUGAAACCUAGUGAUUUGAUAACUUAGUGGCGGACGGGUGAGUAACGCGUGGGUAACCUGCCUUAUCCGGGGGGAUAACAGUUAGAAAUGACUGCUAAUACCGCAUAAGCGCACAGAAUCGCAUGAUUCCGUGUGAAAAGAUUUAUCGGGACAAGAUGGACCCGCGUCUGAUUAGCUAGUUGGCGAGGUAACGGCCCACCAAGGCGACGAUCAGUAGCCGGCCUGAGAGGGUGAACGGCCACAUUGGGACUGAGACACGGCCCAAACUCCUACGGGAGGCAGCAGUGGGGAAUAUUGCACAAUGGGGGAAACCCUGAUGCAGCGACGCCGCGUGAGUGAAGAAGUAUUUCGGUAUGUAAAGCUCUAUCAGCAGGGAAGAAAAUGACGGUACCUGACUAAGAAGCCCCGGCUAACUACGUGCCAGCAGCCGCGGUAAUACGUAGGGGGCAAGCGUUAUCCGGAUUUACUGGGUGUAAAGGGAGCGUAGACGGAAUGGCAAGUCUGAUGUGAAAGCUGGGGGCUCAACCCCCAAACUGCAUUGGAAACUGUUAAUCUGGAGUGUCGGAGAGGUAAGUGGAAUUCCUAGUGUAGCGGUGAAAUGCGUAGAUAUUAGGAGGAACACCGGUGGCGAAGGCGGCUUACUGGACGAUGACUGACGUUGAGGCUCGAAAGCGUGGGGAGCAAACAGGAUUAGAUACCCUGGUAGUCCACGCUGUAAACGAUGAUUACUAGGUGUUGGGAGUCUAUAGACUUUCGGUGCCGUCGCAAACGCAAUAAGUAAUCCACCUGGGGAGUACGUU
RNAcentral lists this ribosomal RNA (870 nucleotides) under uncultured rumen bacterium. RNAcentral's name for it is "bacterial SSU rRNA". It matches the Rfam family "Bacterial small subunit ribosomal RNA", at positions 8 to 886 of the family's 1533-position model. The record is from RNAcentral.